RNAcentral lists this small nuclear RNA (18 nucleotides) under Arabidopsis thaliana (thale cress). RNAcentral describes it as "snRNA_02177". The record is from RNAcentral. Lineage: Eukaryota; Viridiplantae; Streptophyta; Magnoliopsida; Brassicales; Brassicaceae.
CGCAAGUGAAAUACCACU